RNAcentral lists this unclassified non-coding RNA (149 nucleotides) under uncultured Ascomycota. Its description in RNAcentral is "sequence contains ITS1". Lineage: Eukaryota; Fungi; Ascomycota. The record is from RNAcentral.
CCGAGAGAGGGUCGCCUCGCGCGCCCGACCUCCCAACCCUUUGUUUGACCAAAAACCACGUUGCCUCGGGGGCCGACCCGGUCGCCCCCGGUGGACCAACCUUCACAACUCUGCAUCUCUGCGUCGGAGUCACAAGUUAAAUCGUUUUA